AUGCGUAUUUUAGCUUUAAGAGCGUAUUUUGCUGCAUGUUUUGCACAUCUAAGUGCAUAGAACGGAGUGCUAAGAGCAUAUCUUUGUGGUCUCUACUGAUAAUUCUGAGAUUAGGCGUCGCCUUCAGAGUGACUCAAUUUUAGAGUUAGUGCCUGUAAGUAAUUGGGACCUACAUCAAUCAUGAAAGUUGUUCUCGUUCUCAUUGUCAUCACAUGGGCUAUGGUGUCAAUUGAAAGUGCCUCUCCAAACGACUUUGAGCAAUGCCUGGAGAAGUGUCCGGUAACAAUGAUGCAUGCGCCUCUUUGUGGCACAAACGGAGUCACUUAUAGCAACCCAUCGCAUUUGCGUUGCUUUAAUAAUUGUGCGGGAACUUCAAUUGAAAAGUCUUCGAAAGGACCUUGUCCAUAAAUUGUAACAUCAUGGAUGGCAAUAAAAUACUGUUUUUAGUCAUUCCA
Tigriopus californicus is the source of this 455-nucleotide long non-coding RNA. RefSeq lists it as uncharacterized. The record is from RefSeq and is a predicted model, not a curated record. NCBI's taxonomy places the organism in Eukaryota, Metazoa, Arthropoda, Copepoda, Harpacticoida, Harpacticidae. The transcript has 2 exons.